Molecule: ribosomal RNA, 253 nt
Filed under: uncultured bacterium
Lineage: Bacteria
Description: partial 16S ribosomal RNA
Rfam family: Bacterial small subunit ribosomal RNA
Source: RNAcentral
UACGUAGGGUGCAAGCGUUAAUCGGAAUUACUGGGCGUAAAGCGUGCGCAGGCGGUUUUGUAAGUCUGACGUGAAAUCCCCGGGCUCAACCUGGGAAUUGCGUUGGAGACUGCAAGGCUAGAAUCUGGCAGAGGGGGGUAGAAUUCCACGUGUAGCAGUGAAAUGCGUGGAGAUGUGGAGGAACACCGAUGGCGAAGGCAGCCCCCUGGGUCAAGAUUGACGCUCAUGCACGAAAGCGUGGGGAGCAAACAGG